UAAAAAACUCUGUCUUCCUCAAUCUUUGUUUCUUUAGAGUAACAGUAAAUCCUCAUUUAAUGUCUGUCCAAAAGGAGCAUGAAAAGUAAAGAAGGAAGGAUGGAAAGAAAGAAAAAGAAAGAAAGAAGGAAGAACAGAAGGAAGGUCAAUCAUGAAUAGCAUCAGGGUUAUUAUGGUCCAAUGGAGCCAGGCAUGGGACAGCCAAAUAUCACUCAAAAGUACAGGUUGGAAAUCAGAGCCCAGGGUCCUAUCACAUAGAAUUGGCUCCAGAGCUUGCUCCAGAACAAUCAGGAGGAACUGAAUUUUCAGCUCUCAUUAGAAAAAGAAAAACAUCCAUUCAUGAGAGUCCAGGGAUACAUGAAAAUAAAGCAAAUGGGGAAAGACCCAUUCACAUUCCUCCAAAAGAUCUGCUGUUCCUUGGAAUCAUGUUCCUGGCUCCUGGUAGUCCCCGACUUUACCUGUCUGUUCCAGGAACUUGCUUUAUGGCCAUUUGUUCUGGUGAUUAGUUUGAACAACCGACCUUUAUUCCACCACCUCAGACAAUAUUCAACACCCUGUAAUCAUCAUAGCGAAAGAUGUGUCAUGAAAAGUAAAGAAUUAAGAGUUUUCAACUGGCCCAAGGAGAGGGAACAGUCUCAUUUACUGUACUAUAUGGCAUCAUAA
Molecule: long non-coding RNA, 663 nt
Filed under: Aotus nancymaae (Ma's night monkey)
Lineage: Eukaryota; Metazoa; Chordata; Mammalia; Primates; Aotidae
Description: lncRNA (ENSANAG00000039509.1)
Source: RNAcentral